Molecule: non-coding RNA, 1118 nt
Organism: Paramuricea clavata
Lineage: Eukaryota; Metazoa; Cnidaria; Anthozoa; Malacalcyonacea; Plexauridae
Source: the annotation of a GenBank genome assembly
CACAAAUUUAACUGUUCCGACCUUCAUGUCUGCCUUUCGAAGAUUCGCAAGCCGCAAGUCCUUACCAAAAAUUAUGGUGUCAGACAAUGCAUCAACGUACCAAUCUGCCGCGGAAGAGUUGACCCUACUAUUCAAUUCAACAGAGUUGGAAACCAAUCUCAGUAAACGAGGAAUCCAGUGGAAAUUUAUCCCAAAACGAGCACCAUGGUACGGUGGUUUCUGGGAAAGAUUAAUUGGUCUGACAAAAAACUCCUUGAAAAAGGUUCUCGGAAAGGCGAAUGUCACUUUAGAAGAGCUCCAAACAAUUUCCUCCGAAACGGAAGCAAUCCUGACCAAUGACCGCCCGUUAACCCACGUAUCAUCAGAACUAGACGACACAGAACCAUUAACACCAUCCCAUCUACUGUAUGGCCGGAGAAUUACCACCUUACCCCACCCCCUUUACGAAGACGACGAGUUUCGUGAUCCUAUCUAUGAAUCCGAACCUAGUAACAUUGAUGUCCAAGCAAAAUUGAGAACACACCUAAUACAACACUUUUGGAAACGUUGGCGUCAAGAAUAUCUGACGAGCUUACGGGAAUUUCAUAAACCCACUGGAAACAAUUCAACCGAGAUACGUGUUGGUGAUGUCGUUCAAGUACACGAUGACACGAAACGUGUUAACUGGAGACUUGCUGUUGUACAAAGUUUAAUCAAAGGAAAAGACGGACUAGUACGGGCAGCAAAUAUCAAAACAAGUACUGGACAUACGAACAGACCAGUAACUAAACUUUACCCACUCGAAGUUAGAUCCACAACAACAGAGAACCCAAAGAUCACCAUUGACGAAAACCUAGACGCAAAGAAUCCCUCAACAAAUCCUCACCCAGCUGACGUCAUAGAUCAAACGUCAAGCAGACCUGUUCGAGCAAAAGCACGAUUGGCAAAGGAGAAAUUGAAACAGUGGGCAUCCAUACUCUCGCGCCCCCCGGAGGAUGUCGAGAAUUGACAGUACUUUGAACAUUAUAGAUAUCUUGCACGCAUUCUAAUAUAAACAGUUCAUUAUUAAUAUCUUAUAUCGAACACGGUUAGUUAAUUGAACUAGGAUAGAAUUACACUUGCACUAGGAUAACUGGGAC